Molecule: ribosomal RNA, 756 nt
Filed under: Triticum aestivum (bread wheat)
Lineage: Eukaryota; Viridiplantae; Streptophyta; Magnoliopsida; Poales; Poaceae
Description: partial small subunit ribosomal RNA
Source: RNAcentral
AUGCUUUCCGACGAGCUUCUCCGGUCUCUGUCCCGCUCCCGCUCGACCUCGCCGCCCAACUCCCCCAUGCCGCGUGCUCCUCCGCGUGAGCACUGGUUGGACCGCUACUACCGGGAGGUCGAGGCGGAGCGCACCAUCCCCUUCUCGGUGCGUCCUCCCACUUUGUUCCCACGCGGGGCCCCGCCCUCGUGCGGCUCUUCCUCGUCCGCAAGCCCCCCGCCCCCGCCGGCUCCAGAGAUGGAGGCUCCGCCCACCCAGCUGCCGCCUCAGGGCGCCGCCGGGCUCCGCCGGCCGGAGUACACUGAGGUCUUCAUGCCUAUGGUGGUCGACAUGGCGCACUCCCGCCGCUUUUCCUACGCCCUCGUCGACCCGGCUUCCUCCAGUUCGGGCGACCUCCUCCGUCGGGCCCUGGAGCAGCGCGCCGGCAACCCCUCCGUCGGUCUUGCUGCCUCCCACUAUGGCGCCAUGAUGAUCGUCUUCUCCUCCGAGAGCGCUCGGGAGCAGGCCAUGCAGCACUUCCCCAUGUCGUUCGCCGGGCACGUCAUCACCCUCGAGCGCCUGGAGAACGGGGAAAACCGCUUCGGGUGGGAAUACACCUGCUUCACCCAACUCUCGGCCAUCGGCUUCCCCCUCGAGCACUGGCACGAGGGUGGGAUCCGCAACGCCUUCCGCUCCAUCGGCAACGUCUGCUGCAUCGACCCCCUUUGCCUCAACGACCUCGACUUCUCUGCCGUGCAUCUUGUCAUCCGCUUGUAG